Molecule: long non-coding RNA, 1229 nt
Filed under: Capsella rubella
Lineage: Eukaryota; Viridiplantae; Streptophyta; Magnoliopsida; Brassicales; Brassicaceae
Description: long non-coding RNA (CRUB_LNC003098)
Source: RNAcentral
UUAAUAACAUAAAUAUAUAUUUUCUUUUUUUAACCAAUACAAUUAUAUUAGAAAAUUGUAAAAAUUCUACCUCCUCCGUAUUUGUCUUUCCUCUGCCGCUCUUGUUACCUAGACAUUGAAUAUCCAGUCAAAAUUUCUCGAUUAAUCCUCUUGAAAACACACCACUGCCACUCUUAAUAACCCUCGUUCACUUUGGAUAAGAAUUUCAACCCAUGUAAUCGUUCUCUCUCCAACUCGCGUUAUAUCCCACCCGGACGACGUGUACAUUGCGGCGUAGGCUUAGAGUAGGAUUUCCCUCUGCUCACAUGCUCUCAUGUUAGUUUUGGCUUGAUCAUAUUGUAUCGAGCUUAAGCGAAUCAAUCUUGUCUACAACUUGCAACAAUCCAGAGAACGAUGAAAGGUACCCAUCAUAUAACUAGUUUUUUCAAACGUCAAUUUGUUCUUCACCGGCUUCCAAAUGGACACAGAAAUACGGAUACACCAUGUUUCUAAAUUUUUCUUUUUGGAUAAAUCGAUAUUUCUUCCUGCAAAAUUUGGUGGAUGUAAGAAUUCUUCCUUCAAAACUUCCAUUUUUUCCACAAAAUCCAAUUUUCUCCAUCAUAAUGGAUCUUUCUAACUUUGGUAUCACAAAUAUUUAGCAUGUUCUUCGUUAUGUUGACAUAACAAUUUAAAAAUUCCAUGUCUUCACAUGUAAUUGGUUUAUGUUACUGUUAUUUUGUCUCAUAUCGUUGUAUUUAACACUAUUAAUGUCCAACCUAAUGUGGAAGCGGGUAUGGCCAUCGAUGAAGGUGAGGAGAGGUCCAACAAGGUAAUUGACGAUGAAGACAAGUCCAACAAGGUAAGUUGUUAUGUCCUUCACAUCUUGUUUUAAACGAGUCCGCAUGGACUUUCAAAUAUGGAUACACUAAUAUUAGUGCAUUUAUCAUCGUCAAUGUACAACCUAUCAUGGAAGCCGGUAUGGACAUUGAGAAAAGUGAAGAGAGAUCCAACCACGUCGUUGAUCAUACUGUCAUGUAUACUUCAAUAUUUCCACAAGGACACACACAUAUGGAUACAUAUUAUACUUAUGUGCUUUGUUGGUUCACAGUCAACACCGAAAAGAUCCCAUCCUCUUUUUUACAUGUAAAGUAACAUGAUUGUUGUGUUUAAAGGACUAUGAAUGUCUAGCUAUAUUGAUGUAAUGUAAAUGUUGUAGAUAAUUCACAAAGAAAUUGUACUUUAGAACACAA